AAAUUGAAGAGUUUGAUCAUGGCUCAGAUUGAACGCUGGCGGCAGGCCUAACACAUGCAAGUCGAACGGUAACAGAAAGCAGCUUGCUGCUUUGCUGACGAGUGGCGGACGGGUGAGUAAUGUCUGGGAAACUGCCUGAUGGAGGGGGAUAACUACUGGAAACGGUGGCUAAUACCGCAUAACGUCGCAAGACCAAAGAGGGGGACCUUCGGGCCUCUUGCCAUCAGAUGUGCCCAGAUGGGAUUAGCUUGUUGGUGAGGUAACGGCUCACCAAGGCGACGAUCCCUAGCUGGUC
RNAcentral lists this ribosomal RNA (295 nucleotides) under Salmonella enterica. RNAcentral's name for it is "partial 16S ribosomal RNA". It matches the Rfam family "Bacterial small subunit ribosomal RNA", at positions 1 to 292 of the family's 1533-position model. Lineage: Bacteria; Pseudomonadati; Pseudomonadota; Gammaproteobacteria; Enterobacterales; Enterobacteriaceae. The record is from RNAcentral.